AUACAGAGGGUGCAAGCGUUAAUCGGAUUUACUGGGCGUAAAGGGCGCGUAGGCGGCCCAAAAAGUCUCCGGUGAAAUCUCCCGGCUUAACUGGGAGCGGUCCGGGGAAACUUUUGGGCUUGAGGACAGCAGAGGAGAGUGGAAUUCCCGGUGUAGUGGUGAAAUGCGUAGAUAUCGGGAGGAACACCAGUGGCGAAGGCGGCUCUCUGGGCUUUUCCUGACGCUGAGGCUCGAAAGCGUGGGUAGCAAACCGGAUUAGAUACCCCAGUAGUCC
RNAcentral lists this ribosomal RNA (274 nucleotides) under uncultured bacterium. RNAcentral's name for it is "partial 16S ribosomal RNA". It matches the Rfam family "Bacterial small subunit ribosomal RNA", at positions 523 to 796 of the family's 1533-position model. The record is from RNAcentral.